AUGAUUGGAAAGGCUCUUUCCAAGCAUAAGCUUUUCAAGGAACCUAAGAACCGGAACCUCCCCUCCCCCUCCUGUGACGCUCCCGCGGGCGUCCAGGGGGCAACCCUAGCACCGCCGCCGGUCCCCCCUCCUGCUCUCCCUCCUCCCUCGCCGCCGCCCGGGGGCGCGAGCGGGCGAAGCCCGCUCGUCGCUGGCGGCAGCGGGGCCUUCUCGUCUCUGCGCGUGGGUGUUUCGGCGCGUGUGCCGUUGCCCGGCCAGGCCCUUGCGGCAGGUCGACGUCGCACGUCGCUGGAGACUCCCCUGGUGGCCAUACAUGGAUGCGGCAGAGGGCUCUGCUUCCUCAUUAGAUUAAAUUUUGGUGUUGCAUUGUUGAGCACUUCAUGUGAAUGUUCUCUAGUCUCUAUUGUGCAGGGGGUUCUACUCUCCCUCUUGAGGCAAGUGUGGAUGUAA
This 450-nucleotide ribosomal RNA is filed under the name Triticum aestivum (bread wheat). RNAcentral's name for it is "partial small subunit ribosomal RNA". The record is from RNAcentral. Lineage: Eukaryota; Viridiplantae; Streptophyta; Magnoliopsida; Poales; Poaceae.